Molecule: ribosomal RNA, 492 nt
Filed under: uncultured bacterium
Lineage: Bacteria
Description: partial 16S ribosomal RNA
Rfam family: Bacterial small subunit ribosomal RNA
Source: RNAcentral
GAUGAACGCUAGCUACAGGCUUAACACAUGCAAGUCGAGGGGAAACGACAUCGAAAGCUUGCUUUUGAUGGGCGUCGACCGGCGCACGGGUGAGUAACGCGUAUCCAACCUGCCCACCACUUGGGGAUAACCUUGCGAAAGUAAGACUAAUACCCAAUGAUAUCUCUAGAAGACAUCUGAAAGAGAUUAAAGAUUUAUCGGUGAUGGAUGGGGAUGCGUCUGAUUAGCUUGUUGGCGGGGUAACGGCCCACCAAGGCAACGAUCAGUAGGGGUUCUGAGAGGAAGGUCCCCCACAUGGGAACUGAGACACGGUCCAAACUCCUACGAGAGGCAGCAGUGAGGAAUAUUGGUCAAUGGACGAGAGUCUGAACCAGCCAAGUAGCGUGCAGGAAGACGGCCCUAUGGGUUGUAAACUGCUUUUAUAAGGGAAUAAAGUGAGUCUCGUGAGACUUUUUGCAUGUACCUUAUGAAUAAGGACCGGCUAAUUCCGUG